UAUUUAAUGCUGUCUCGUGUACAUUGCUUUGCUAUAGUGAGGGGGAAAACCCUUUAGAUUGAGACUCAGUUUACUAAUAAAUGGUUAGUAGAGGAUGAAACUAGAGUGUGAAAAUAUGAACGAGUUAGUGGAGCUGAUGAAUUAAAAUCAUAAGUUGCUACAUUGGCAUUUUCUACCUCCUUUUCUGUCAGAGUAUUACUUUUCCAGCUUUUAUUCUUUUUUGUGACUAAGGAAGAGAUGAGAACCCAAGGUUCAAUUUGGAAUUUUUAUGUUGUUGAGGAUUUAAGCAGUAGGUACAGGAAGGGUGACUUGCCACAUCAAUUUUGCGUGUAAAUCCAUAACUACAGGUUAUGACUGACAUCUACAAAAUGUGUAAGAAAGGUAAUAUUGCUGAAUAUUUUUGCUUUUCCUGUACAGUCUACAUGACUUUGUUUCAUAAACGUGACUUCUUUCCUCCAAAAUGCAAAAUGGUCAUGUAAUUUUCUAUAAAAUAAACAGGCCAUUUUGUCUGAAAUCUAUAAUUUCAGGAAGCUAUUGGAAGUUCUGACUCAGGGCUUUGUAACAGUUUAAGCAAUUGUUAAUUAUAUUUUGGAAAAUCCAUCUACAUAAUUCUUCAGUGCCUUGAAAGAAUUAUUAACUUGGCAACACUACUAAAACUUUUUAGAAGACUGUCUUUAGUGUGGGUGCAUCAUCACACACACGUUUAUAAGAUGUAUUGCUUAGCUUGUGUUAAUAGCAAUACUGCAUGUGUGCUGGGUUUGGGUAAUUCUUUAAAGGAAGUUUUCUAGAUUUGCACUUGAUAUUUGUUUUUUUUUUAAACUGAUAUUUAUGGCCAUGACACUGUUACCAGAAAAGUAAUUCUAUAAGUCAUUAUGCAAAGUCAUGUAUAGGUAGCAUCUGGGAAGAAGAGCUAGGGUUCAUACAGUUUGCUAUUUUAAUAUGAAAGGAGAGUCUGUUUGGUAAACACAGAUUGUCUUCCCCUCAUGAACAAAAGAUCUUUUAUUAAGUGAUUUGGUUUAAAAAUAUUUUUUUUAAGGAAAUCAUGGAUUGCAUGUUCUUCUUAAUGCUAGUCUUACUUAGCCUGAAUCCACAAAAUUGUUCUGUUAAUUUCAGUAUGCUUGUCAUCCUAAAUACAGUAUAUUCAGUGUGAUAGAAAGCAGUUUAAAUGACACAUAGGAAUGUUUUGCUUUGUAUUUUUUCCAGUGUUUUUUAGCUCCCACUUGAUUAAAGUCUUGCUCGUGAAUAUAGUUUCUGUAUGGCAAAUGAUUCUUGCUUAUUUAGCUUUUGUUAAAAAACACUUAGCAAGAGCUAAGCUUUUAAAAAUAAGUGCAAACAUUUACCAUUAAUAAAACUUACACUGUAAUAUUAUAUAGUGCUUUUCUCUGAUCUUUUGAAAGUAUUCAUAUGAAUUUUGAUUUUUAAGGUAUUGAAAACAUAUCUCAGUAUAUCAAACCUAUUAUUGGAAAGGAAAUUACCAUGUGUUUGAAAAACAAGGACAUACAUCUUCAACUCAACAUAAGACAUAGGUGCCCACAUCUAGAAGGCUGUCAUUACAGUUGUUUACAUUUAAGGUACCUCUAUCUAAAGGGCCAAAGAACCUUUUCAUAUUUUAACACAGUCUUUCAGGAUAUUGUGAAAGUAGUCUCCAUAGGAUAAAUUUGAUAGAAAAUCAGUCAACCAGUUAGGAAGACUCAAUUUUUCUAUAUAAAGUUUAUUCCUCUUCAUAAUUCAGAUGUAGAUUUCAUUUUCAAAAGAUAAACAUUUUAAAGCAAUGAUUUCUUUGGCUUUUUUAGUGUUUUGUGACUAAAUCAGUAAUUGAAUGGUUUGGAGUUAUUUUUUUCAAGUUAAU
Molecule: long non-coding RNA, 1849 nt
Filed under: Canis lupus familiaris (dog)
Lineage: Eukaryota; Metazoa; Chordata; Mammalia; Carnivora; Canidae
Description: lncRNA (ENSCAFG00000054880.1, ENSCAFG00805006022.1, ENSCAFG00845015650.1)
Source: RNAcentral